RNAcentral lists this ribosomal RNA (528 nucleotides) under Hepatozoon sp. MRA-2009-4. Its description in RNAcentral is "partial 18S ribosomal RNA". It matches the Rfam family "Eukaryotic small subunit ribosomal RNA", at positions 450 to 971 of the family's 1831-position model. The record is from RNAcentral. Lineage: Eukaryota; Apicomplexa; Hepatozoidae.
CGCUACCAUCGUAUGCCUCGACGGCCAAUCCAGGUCUGUGCAUCAUGCUGAGUAACUGGAAUGAUACAAAUCUCCCACACUUUUUACAGCAUCAAGUCUGGAGGGCAAGUCUGGUGCCAGCAGCCGCGGUAAUUCCAGCUCCAAUAGCGUAUAUUAAAAUUGUUGCAGUUAAAAAGCUCGUAGUUGAAUUUCUGUUAAAAAUAACCGGUCUGCUUUUAUUAAAAGUGGUAUCUUGGUGUGUUUUUAGCAAUAAUGUCCUUUGAAAUGUUUUUUACUUUAUUGUAAUAAGUCAUUAUUUUGAGGAUUUUUACUUUGAGAAAAUUAGAGUGUUUCUAGCAGGCUUUCACUCUUUUAAACACUGCCACGUGAAAUAAUAAUAUAAGAUUUGAGCUCCACAAUAGGGGUUUUGAGAUCUAUUUUUAUUUUUUAUGGGGAUAGUUGGGGGCAUUUGUAUUUCACUGUCAGAGGAGAAUUUCUUAUAUUUGUUAGACACAAACCUCUGCAAAAGCAUGUGCCAGAUAUGUUCUC